UCGUUUUGCAUGAUUAUGUACUUUGAUCUAUUUUGCAUGCAAACCCUUGUGUUAUAUGAAUGCAUCACUUCCAUUGCUUUGUUAAAGUUUAAACACCUUAUUCGCAUGCUAUCUCUAAGUGGUGUGUUGGAGGUUAGGUUAGGAGUUAACGGAGAGUCACAUCGGUGGUUAAUGUGACACGCUGGAUUCGGGUCAAAUCUUCUCAGUCGGGUAUGAGGUGUUACAGGGACUUACAAAUUCACUAGGUUGAUAGCCAAAUAGUCUCUAGUUAAUUUAAGUAGCCAAGGCAUCACUAGAUAGGAUAUCGCAACCACUAGCCAAACAUAUAUUGCCGUGAGCGCUUUAUCAUUCAAUUUCAAGUAUAACUUGCAAAUCAAUGCAAUACAAUUUCAUAAACAACAAUCAGCUAUACAGAUAACAAAAUUAGGAAAACUAAUGGCACUCGAACUAGUAUCAAAUUUUCAUUCUGCACCUAAGCAGAUUUCUUUGUUUAAAGCGACCCCUGAAAUAUGUAACAUAUUUUAAUCCCAUUCUUAAUGCGUUUUUUGAUGAUUAAUUAUGCAAAUUAGUGAAUUUGAUGCUCAUAAUCCUUUACAUUCAUGUUUUUAUUCUUAGGAGAGCAUUUGAGACCGAAAGGAGCGAAAAACAAGCCAAAAAGGACAAAUAGAGUUGUUUUCAGGAUCCACACGGCCUGGGCAUUUCCACACGGGUAAGCCACACGCCCGUAUGAGCCACAUGGGCUGGCCACACGCCCAUGUGCCAACCCGUGUCGAUUUUGCACCCUGCUUCCAAAAUACGCAGAAAAACUCAAUUUUUAGGCUUUUUGAGCAUUCCAAAGUUUAUAAAUAGCAAUUAAAAGAGGACCUAAGGGGGCAAUCAGAGGAGAUCGAAGAAAACACUCAAAGAAUGCCAUCAAAAUCAACUCGGAAGUGGAACCCCCUCAAGAUCAAAGAUCUCUAUUUAAUUUCUUUUGAAGUUUUAUUGAGUUUCUGUUAUGUCUUGUGGUUAUCCUAACUUUGAGAUAUUUCUAUUUAGGAUUAUGAACUAAUCUAGAUACCUAGGGAGGAUGAAACCUAUGAUGAAUUCUAUGAUGAAUGUUAUUAUUUAAUUUCUGUUUUUAUGUAAUAAAUACUUGAUUCUUGUUCUCAAUUAUGUAUGCUUAUUUCGUGUUUU
Molecule: long non-coding RNA, 1173 nt
Filed under: Gossypium barbadense (sea-island cotton)
Lineage: Eukaryota; Viridiplantae; Streptophyta; Magnoliopsida; Malvales; Malvaceae
Description: long non-coding RNA (GBAR_LNC000903)
Source: RNAcentral